Molecule: non-coding RNA, 2900 nt
Organism: Prunus avium (sweet cherry)
Lineage: Eukaryota; Viridiplantae; Streptophyta; Magnoliopsida; Rosales; Rosaceae
Source: RefSeq, a predicted model, not a curated record
ACUUUUCCGGAGUGGGUUUUGGGUUUAGGUUGCUUGUCUCAUACUUGUGCUAUAAAAGCGGUAUAACUAGUGAGAUUACGCGGAAAGGAAUUAGCAUCCCAGAAAGUGAAGCUACAAAGGUAAAAGUGAAGCCACUGACACAGUGAUAAGCCAUUAAGAAAUUGUUCGAGUCCAAACAAAGAUUCCCAGUUCCCACUACGAACGACUUUCUUUGUUUGGUCUGCGUUCUCAGCCUGAGGUCUUAUCUAUUAAAUCAUCAUCUCUCUGCGACUUCGGUGUUUUGUGUGUCAGCUGAUUCUUGCAAGUAACUAUGAGCAGCUGAAUCUUAAUCAACACCAAGAUAUGGAGGUUGUUUUAGAGAAAAAAGACGCUGCUGAUUGGGUUUACAGAGGCGAAGGCGCUGCCAAUCUUGUUCUCGGUUACAGCGGAUCCGCCCCCGCUUUUAUUGGGAAAGUAAUGCGUCUACAGAAAGCUCCAAUUAAUGGGUCAAAGUCCAUGAACAGUCCCACUGCAUUAACCGUGCAUGAACGUCUUCUGUGGAAGGACACGGAGGACAUUGUAGCUACCUCUAACAAAGAACUUGCUUGCCAACUGUUUGUGAAGCACAUCAUGAGCCCUCUAUUGGGUUCCACACACGUUGAUUCUGGGAUGCGUGUCCCUGCUUCCAAAGAAUUCUUGGAGUUGGUUGAGAAGAACGUAAUUUGUCAGCGUCCUGCUUCUCGAGUUGAUGCUGCCAAAGUUGACACACAAUGUGAUUCUGUGCUUCUCAUGUCUGAUCAUUCUCUUUUUCCUCGUGGUACUCAUGAAGUUGAACCCUGUAUAUCUGUGGAGAUAAAGCCAAAAUGUGGAUUUCUGCCAUCCUCAAAGUUCAUUGAUGAAGGAAAUGCCAUUAAACGGAGCAUUACUCGUUUUCGGAUGCACCAAGCUCUGAAGUUGCAUCAAGGAGAGGUAUCAGAAUAUAGUGAAUAUAAUCCACUUGAUCUGUUCUCUGGAUCCAAGGACAGAAUACAUAAAGCUAUCAGGGAUCUCUUCUCAACCCCGCAGAAUAACUUCCGUGUAUUCUUGAAUGGUUCUCAAAUAUUUGGGGGCUUAGGUGGUGGUGCAGACAGUACCGAUUUUGUGACUCGGGGAAAAUUUGAAGAUGCACUCAAGUGUGUUAUUCAGGGAGGUGAUGGCUUGCGCACAAUGAGUUUUCUACUGCUUGUUGCUGAGACCGUUCAUAAAUCUGGAGUGUUGGAUCGGCUCCUUGAGGUCACGAAACUUGAUAAUCUUGACAUUGAUGGGGCUAUCCAUGCAUAUUAUGACAUUGUUUCGGAGCCUUGCAGGGUAUGUAGAGCAUCCGGUAAAGAAAAAAUGUCACAGAGAUAUCUUUCAUUGCAUUCCAUCUCUUUGGAUGAAAGCUUGAAGAUUGUGAAGGAUUUUUUGAUAGCUGCUACUGCAAAGGACUGCAGUUUGAUGAUUAGUUUUAGACCAAGGAAAGAUGGGAAUCCAGGAUCUCCAUAUGAUAAUUUGUAUCUAGAUUCAACCAACCAAUUUUUUGAUUACAAGGUGAAUUUCAUUGACCUGGAUUUGAAACAGUUGAAGAAAAUGGAAGAAUAUUAUGAGUUGGAUAAAAAAAUAGUAAGCUACUACAAUCAAAUGGUGGAAACUGAGGAAAGACAAAAGAAAAAUACAAGCACAAUGGCUCUUAAAACUGCAAAUUGAAAUUUGUUGCUGUGCCAUGGAAGAUACUUUACUUCAAAUUAUGAGUAAACGUAAGGAUCUUACAGUUUUGAUUUUCAACAAUGGAACCAAACACAUUUAGUUUUGAGCAGUAACUUAUGACAUUUUCCACUUGUCUGAUGUACAAAGUGUGAUUUGGAGUUUGUUUUUGUAACUACAUUGCCAAACCACGAACAUUCAAAAGAAAUGACUUGGAAGAAUCAAUGAACCUGAUGCUGGAACAUGUUUCUAGACCAGGUGGUAAGACUAAUAUGGAAGGCUCUGUGAACUCUGGUUGUUCAGCUUUGAUAUUUUGAUCAGCAUAUAUGUGGAAUAUAAAGGCCGUGGGUUGGCUACAUCAUGUGCUGAACAAUGAGCUCCUGUGCUGUCAAUAGGUCUCUCUCUCUCUCUCUCUCUCUCUCUCUCUCUCUCUCUCUCUCUCUCUCCCUCUCUGUUUGUUUGUGUGGAUCUAAUCCUGUUAAAGUUGAUGAUUCAAGUACGGGAAAGAAGGAAUUAAUACGUUCCAGAAGUGGGUCAAGUUUGCCCUCAACUGAUCCCGCUAAAGCUGAAUUGAGAAACUGAUUGCCAUUACUAUAUCCCAAUACAUUGCAUAAUGUCAGGUCUUCUUUAUUUUCUUGGAGACAUCCUGAGCUAAAACCUCAUUUGUUGGUUUGUUCAAAAUCUUUGUUUUCUUCAGUGAAUCAGCAUGUUUACUUCUAGUAAAAUUUGCUACAAGCUGACACACCUGUGUGUACAAACAGGCGAAUGGGCAAGCUUGUCAGAGUCAGGCAGGCCUGCAUCAUUUUAACUUUGCUAUAAAAUGUCUCAUUUCUUUUAAGAUAAAGAGGAUGUGCAUUGUAGAAAGGGACUAUGGAAGCGAACGGAGGGGUGUAAGUAAACCAUCAAAGUCAGCCUACGGAAGUUCCAAUAACUGAAAAUUUUGAUAAUUUUCAUCAAAAAUCAGCCUUGAGAACUUACAGAGACAUGAUGAAUUUCGAAGGUCUACUGAGCUUUUGAUUUACAAACAUUGAUGAGUACCCUUAUUUUUUGUUUUGUAAGCAGAAACUUCGUGAGCACCUUAUUUUUAAGGUACAGGCAACAUCGACUGUAUAUAUAACUAAUCUACUGGUGUAUUGAUCAUUUGCAAAACUUCCUUUGUGUCAUUAAUUUGUAAAAUGUACUCUGAGGAACUGGUGAAU